CUGGUUUUAUUCCAUAUAUGAAAAUCCUUUAUGUUGUCUCUUUUCCAUCUUCUAUUUUAAUAAGAUCCUGAUUGAUUUAAAUCCAGAAACUCUUUGUUUAGAUGUUGUGUCUCUGUUUGUCUCCAGUGCGCUGAGAGCAGAGAAAUCAUUUCCAUAGAGAGGAGGCUUUGCAUGGUCAGCUGAUCCUCCAGGGAACUGAGAAGGUUUAUAGUCCUGAGAGUUCAACACUGCAGGACUCUGAUCUGUCAGUCAAGCCAGCAGAAACAACAAGCACCAUGACUCUCAUCUCCAUCCUCAUCUGGACGCUGACCUGCUGCUGUUUAACAGGAUGCAGCGCUCAGGUGACUGUGAUUCAGCCUCCAGUGGAGACAUUUACUCCAGGAUCAACUGUCACUAUUCGGUGUACAACAAAUCCUGCUGUUUACACAUUAUUUGAUAAUGAGUUUAUGUCCUGGUAUCAGCAAAAACCAGGACAGCCUCCAAAGCUCCUGAUAUAUCAGGUGGAAAACCUUGAGGAGGGAACACCAGAUCGGUUUAGUGGCAGUGGAAGCAGCACUGACUUCACUUUGACCAUCACUGGAGUUCAGGCUGAAGAUGCAGCAGUUUAUUACUGUCAGAGCCUACAUGAAGUAAAUGAUGUGUGGGUGUACAAUUUUGGUGGAGGAACCAAACUCAUCGUUGACUUGGGUGUGGUGCGUCCCACCCUGACCGUCCUCCACCCCUCCAAAGAGGAGCAGCAGCAGAGCAGUGUCACACUGGUGUGUCUGGCCAGCGGGGGCUUCCCUUCAACCUGGAGGCUGGGCUGGAAGGUGGGGGGCAGCAGCAGGUCCUCAGGGGUGUCUAACAGCCUGGAGGUCCUGGGGAGGGACGGCCGCUACAGCUGGAGCAGCACCCUGAGCCUCCCUGCAGACCAGUGGAGGAAGGCGGGCUCAGUGAGCUGUGAGGCCAAUCAGAGUGGACAGAGUCCUGUCACUCAAACCCUGGACCCUAACCUCUGCUCAGAGUAGAGCUGCAGCUUCUUGUCUGGAAAUCAUGUUCUUGUA
Cyprinodon tularosa is the source of this 1043-nucleotide non-coding RNA. Lineage: Eukaryota; Metazoa; Chordata; Actinopteri; Cyprinodontiformes; Cyprinodontidae. The record is from the annotation of a RefSeq genome assembly.